AGACAUACAGGUCGAGCAAGGAUGAAAAUCGGACUUAGUGAUCCGGUGGUUCUGCGUGGAAGGGCCAUCGCUCAACGGAUAAAAGCUACCCUGGGGAUAACAGGCUUAUCUCCCCCAAGAGUCCACAUCGACGGGGAGGUUUGGCACCUCGAUGUCGGCUCAUCACAUCCUGGGGCUGUAGUAGGUCCCAAGGGUUGGGCUGUUCGCCCAUUAAAGUGGUACGCGAGCUGGGUUCAGAACGUCGUGAGACAGUUCGGUCCCUAUCCGUCGCAGGCGUAGGAAAUUUGAGAAGACCUGUCCUUAGUACGAGAGGACCGGGAUGGACGUACCUCUGGUGUACCAGUUGUUCUGCCAAGGGCAUGGCUGGGUAGCUAUGUACGGAAUGGAUAAGCGCUGAAAGCAUCUAAGCGCGAAGCCAACUUCAAGAUAAGAUUUCCCACCGCAAGGGUAAGACCCCAGAAAGACUAUCUGGUUGAUAGGUCGAAGGUGUAAGUGCAGCAAUGUAUUUAGCUUAUCGAUACUAAUAGGUCGAGGACUUGACCAAU
RNAcentral lists this ribosomal RNA (545 nucleotides) under Clostridioides difficile. RNAcentral describes it as "bacterial LSU rRNA". It matches the Rfam family "Bacterial large subunit ribosomal RNA", at positions 2378 to 2925 of the family's 2925-position model. Lineage: Bacteria; Bacillati; Bacillota; Clostridia; Peptostreptococcales; Peptostreptococcaceae. The record is from RNAcentral.